RNAcentral lists this ribosomal RNA (409 nucleotides) under uncultured bacterium. RNAcentral's name for it is "bacterial SSU rRNA". It matches the Rfam family "Bacterial small subunit ribosomal RNA", at positions 355 to 762 of the family's 1533-position model. The record is from RNAcentral.
UAAGGAAUAUUGGUCAAUGGACGCAAGUCUGAACCAGCCAUGCCGCGUGACGGAUGAAGGUCCUCUGGAUUGUAAACUUCUUUUACCUGGGACGAAAACGGGAUUUUUAUCUCAAUUGACGGUACCAGAGGAAUAAGCACCGGCUAACUCCGUGCCAGCAGCCGCGGUCAUACGGCGGGUGCGAGCGUUCUCCGGAUUUACUGGGUUUAAAGGGUGCGUAGGUGGGCUUAUAAGUCAGUGGUGAAAUCUCCGAGCUUAACUUGGAAACUGCCGUUGAUACUAUAGGUCUUGAAUUAUCUGGAGGUAAGCGGAAUAUGUCAUGUAGCGGUGAAAUGCUUAGAUAUGACAUAGAACACCCAUUACGAAGGCAGCUUACUACAUAUAAAUUGACGCUGAGGCACGAAAGCGU